GAUGAACGCUGGCGGCGUGCCUAAUACAUGCAAGUCGAGCGAACAGACGAGGAGCUUGCUCCUCUGACGUUAGCGGCGGACGGGUGAGUAACACGUGGAUAACCUACCUAUAAGACUGGGAUAACUUCGGGAAACCGGAGCUAAUACCGGAUAACAUGUUGAACCGCAUGGUUCAACAGUGAAAGACGGUCUUGCUGUCACUUAUAGAUGGAUCCGCGCCGCAUUAGCUAGUUGGUAAGGUAACGGCUUACCAAGGCAACGAUGCGUAGCCGACCUGAGAGGGGGAUCGGCCACACUGGAACUGAGACACGGUCCAGACUCCUACGGGAGGCAGCAGUAGGGAAUCGUCCGCAAUGGGCGAAAGCCUGACGGAGCAACGCCGCGUGAGUGAAGAAGGUCUUCGGAUCGUAAAACUCUGUUAUUAGGGAAGAACAAAUGUGUAAGUAACUAUGCACGUCUUGACGGUACCUAAUCAGAAAGCCACGGCUAACUACGUG
Molecule: ribosomal RNA, 497 nt
Filed under: uncultured bacterium
Lineage: Bacteria
Description: partial 16S ribosomal RNA
Rfam family: Bacterial small subunit ribosomal RNA
Source: RNAcentral